UACGGAGGGUGCAAGCGUUAUCCGGAUUCACUGGGUUUAAAGCGCACGCAGGCGGCGCAACAAGUCUGACGUGAAAUCUCCCGGCUUAACUGGGAGCGGUCGUUGGAAACUGUUGUGCUUGAGGCGAUGAGAGGGGUGUGGAAUUCCCGGUGUAGUGGUGGAAUGCGUAGAUAUCGGGAGGAACAUCAGUGGCGAAAGCGGCACCCUGGCAUUAGCCUGACGCUCAUGUGCGAAAGCGUGGGGAGCGAACGGG
Molecule: ribosomal RNA, 253 nt
Filed under: uncultured bacterium
Lineage: Bacteria
Description: partial 16S ribosomal RNA
Rfam family: Bacterial small subunit ribosomal RNA
Source: RNAcentral